This 757-nucleotide long non-coding RNA is filed under the name Bos taurus (domestic cattle). RNAcentral describes it as "long non-coding RNA NONBTAT000028". Lineage: Eukaryota; Metazoa; Chordata; Mammalia; Artiodactyla; Bovidae. The record is from RNAcentral.
AAGACGGCAGAGAGAGGGUGCGUAUCACCGUGGCUGUGGCUGGCGGUUGUCCCCCUCUGCCCCUCUUCCCCCUGCCCGCCGCCCUCUCGGCUUGUCUUUCCACCCUGUCCCCAUUCUUCAUUCCACCCCCUGGGGCUGGCCGGCCCCCUGCCCUCCUGUCUCCUCUGUACAACCAGCCCUCUAGGUCCCCCUGCUUACCAAACUCUCCUCCAAGAGGCCUCAACCAUGAGCAACUGCUCCCUCUUCGAAACUCUUAACGCCUCGCCAUCCUCCGAGCCCUGAUUCUCAGACCAGCAGAAUCGGUACCACCUGUGCACUGACUGCGCUAAAGCAUCUCAGCAUCUCGGGCUCCACUGGCUCCCUGCUCCAGGCUCUGUCAGAGCGCCUUCGGGAGAGGAAGGAGGUGGCCCCCCAGCUCCAGUCUCCUUAACUGCACCCUGGGAAGUCUGCACACUGCCUUUCUUUCUCCCCUCCUGGUGGUCUAAUCUGGAGUCAGAUCCAGCCGCUGGCUCUCGCAGAUGGGGAAGGACUGCCAGCCAACAGGAAAACAACAGGUUUCUAUAAUUCAUCAUUCAGUCCCUUCUGAAAACCUAGAAUGAGAGUUUAGCAGCUCAGAGCCCCGGCCUCUCUCCAUUCUCUCCCCAAACACAUCAGCUUGUUUGUUCCCUUUCAUCCGGGCUCUUCCUGUCGCAUUCUGCCUGUUCAAUGGGGAAAGAGUGAAACCGGAUGGCUGGACCCAGUGCGGGGAAAUGACUUC